Molecule: ribosomal RNA, 462 nt
Filed under: uncultured bacterium
Lineage: Bacteria
Description: bacterial SSU rRNA
Rfam family: Bacterial small subunit ribosomal RNA
Source: RNAcentral
AUUAACGUUGGCGGCGUGUCUAAGGCAUGCAAGUCGAGCGACGUGUUCCCGCAAGGGAAUUACGAGCGGCAAACGGGAGAGUAAUACCCUGGUAACUUACCUUCAAGACGGGGAUAGCUUCUCGAAAGAGAAAUUAAUACCCGAUGGUCAUGCGGGGACGAGAGUCAUUCGCAUGUAAAUCCUUUCGGGCUUGAAGAAAGGCCUAGGUCCUAUCAGCUAGUUGGUGAGGUAAUGGCUCACCAAGGCAACGACGGGUAGGGGGCGUGAGAGCGCGACCCCCCUCACUGGGACUGAGAAACUGCCCAGACUCCUACGGGAGGCUGCAGUCAAGAAUCUUCCACAAUGGCCGAAAGGCUGAUGGAGCGACGCCGCGUGCAGGAAGAAGUCCUUCGGGAUGUAAACUGCUUUUAUAAGGGACGAAUUCGUGACGGUACUUUAUGAAUAAGAGGUUGCUAACUCUGU